Molecule: ribosomal RNA, 253 nt
Filed under: uncultured bacterium
Lineage: Bacteria
Description: partial 16S ribosomal RNA
Rfam family: Bacterial small subunit ribosomal RNA
Source: RNAcentral
UACGUAGGGGGCUAGCGUUGUCCGGAAUCAUUGGGCGUAAAGCGCACGUAGGCGGCUUUUUAAGUCAGGGGUGAAAUCCUGGAGCUCAACUCCAGAACUGCCUUUGAUACUGAGAAGCUUGAGUCCGGGAGAGGUGAGUGGAACUGCGAGUGUAGAGGUGAAAUUCGUAGAUAUUCGCAAGAACACCAGUGGCGAAGGCGGCUCACUGGCCCGGUACUGACGCUGAGGUGCGAAAGCGUGGGGAGCAAACAGG